GCCAGGCAUGGUGGCAUGUGCCUGUAGUUCCAGCUACUUUGGAGGCUGAGGUGGGAGGAUCCCUUGAGUUCAGGAGUUCUGGGCUACAGUGUGUUAUGCUGAUCGGGUGUCCGCACUAAGUUCAGCAUCAAUAUAGUGACCUCCCGGGAGCGGGGGACCACCAGGUUGCCUAACGAGGGGUGAACCGGCCUAAGUCGGAAAUGGAGCAGGUCAAAAACUCCCGUGCUGAUCAUUCUAUGUAUUUGGUACAGAGUCUCAGUACGCAGCUCGGACCCAUAGUGAUCUUCCUAUUUU
RNAcentral lists this signal recognition particle RNA (294 nucleotides) under Octodon degus (degu). RNAcentral describes it as "Metazoan signal recognition particle RNA (ENSODEG00000025879.1)". It matches the Rfam family "Metazoan signal recognition particle RNA". Rfam says of the family: The signal recognition particle (SRP) is a universally conserved ribonucleoprotein. It is involved in the co-translational targeting of proteins to membranes. The record is from RNAcentral. Lineage: Eukaryota; Metazoa; Chordata; Mammalia; Rodentia; Octodontidae.